RNAcentral lists this ribosomal RNA (434 nucleotides) under uncultured bacterium. RNAcentral's name for it is "partial 16S ribosomal RNA". It matches the Rfam family "Bacterial small subunit ribosomal RNA", at positions 29 to 507 of the family's 1533-position model. The record is from RNAcentral.
AACGAACGCUGGCGGCAUGCCUAACACAUGCAAGUCGAACGAUUGCCUUCGGGUGAUAGUGGCGCACGGGUGCGUAACGCGUGGGAAUCUGCCCUUAGGUUCGGAAUAACAGCUGGAAACGGCUGCUAAUACCGGAUGAUAUCGCGAGAUCAAAGAUUUAUCGCCUGAGGAUGAGCCCGCGUUGGAUUAGGUAGUUGGUGGGUAAAGGCCUACCAAGCCGACGAUCCAUAGCUGGUCUGAGAGGAUGAUCAGCCACACUGGGACUGAGACACGGCCCAGACUCCUACGGGAGGCAGCAGUGGGGAAUAUUGGACAAUGGGCGCAAGCCUGAUCCAGCAAUGCCGCGUGAGUGAUGAAGGCCCUAGGGUUGUAAAGCUCUUUUACCCGGGAAGAUAAUGACUGUACCGGGAGAAUAAGCCCCGGCUAACUCCGUG